AGGGUAUAGCUCAGUGGUAGAGCUCAUGCUUAGCAUGCAUGAGGUCCUAGGUUCAAUCCCCAGUACCUCUA
RNAcentral lists this transfer RNA (71 nucleotides) under Camelus bactrianus (Bactrian camel). It matches the Rfam family "tRNA". From Rfam's summary of the family: Transfer RNA (tRNA) molecules are approximately 80 nucleotides in length. RNAcentral also lists the same sequence under 2 other names. The record is from Rfam by way of RNAcentral. Lineage: Eukaryota; Metazoa; Chordata; Mammalia; Artiodactyla; Camelidae.